AUAACGGCCCUUUUCAGGGCCACCAAUAUUUUUCAAAAAAAUCUAU
RNAcentral lists this non-coding RNA (46 nucleotides) under Mytilus galloprovincialis (Mediterranean mussel). It matches the Rfam family "Histone 3' UTR stem-loop". From Rfam's summary of the family: The mRNAs of metazoan histone genes lack a poly-A tail. 3' end processing occurs at a site between a highly conserved stem-loop (modelled by this family) and a purine rich region around 20 nts downstream (the histone downstream element, or HDE). The stem-loop is bound by a 31 kDa stem-loop binding protein (SLBP - also termed the histone hairpin binding protein, or HBP). The record is from RNAcentral. Lineage: Eukaryota; Metazoa; Mollusca; Bivalvia; Mytilida; Mytilidae.